UGAAUUGAAGUGACUCUCCGUACUUUUCCUU
Molecule: non-coding RNA, 31 nt
Filed under: Rattus norvegicus (Norway rat)
Lineage: Eukaryota; Metazoa; Chordata; Mammalia; Rodentia; Muridae
Source: RNAcentral